AGGUCCUGAACCUGAAAUCCUCUGACAACAACACUGUACAAGAGAAAAAGCGUGUGGGAGCACAAAUUGUGACCCUUUUUAAGGGAUAGAACGACAGCUGGAUCAGCGGAGAGAGAUGGGACAGCAGCAGGAUGGAGGUGUGGUUGGAUGAGCUUUACAGCUGAAGACCAGUCCAGACGCAGCAGACAGCAUGCCAACGCAGGAAGUGAGAUUGGGUGAGGAUGAGUGCCUCUGCUUAGUCCCCCAUACAGAAGAGCUCAAAGCCCCUGUGAUCUCACCUCCAAAUCCAAAAUGGUACAGGUCCAUGCAACGAUUAUGCUGUUCUCGUGAUGUAGAAAGAGGGGCCCGGUUUGUUUUCGAGCCAUGCCUACAGUAUGUGGGUUCAUUCUAAAGCAUGAAGAAAUUUGUAUGUUUGACCUUUGACCUUGUGGCCCUGCACUGUGAGGCCCCAAUGACCUCCCAUUGCACGGGCGGUGUCGACAGGGCCAGGGGCCCCAUCUGCACCAAUUUCAUCAAUGGAGACGGGUGAAGGCGGUAAUAGUGAAGACAGUGGAGAGACUGCACAGGCUAGGUACUCUCAGAAACAGCGGGACACAGACUCCAGGGAACCCUUAAGAUGAAGAGAAGUUUAUACUGAAUCAUUUGUUCCUUUCCUCGGCCCCUUCAACUGCAAGACAAAUAGAGUAUCAAUCAAAUUUUUAUUUAUAUAGCUCAUUUUAAAAAGGAUUUGUCACAAAAUGCUUCACAGUUUAUGCUGGCCUAAACCCCCACAGAGCAAGCCAGAGGCGAAAGUAGGCCACUGUAGAGCCUGAAUCCCCACAGGGCAAGCCAGAGACAGCAGUGGGCCACUAUAGAGCCUGAACCCCCACAGAGCAAGCCAGAGACAGCAGUAGGCCCCUGUAGAGCCUGAACCCCCUCAGAGCAAGCCAGAGGCGACAGUAGGCCACUGUAGAGUCUGAACCCCCACAGAGCAAGCCAGAGACAGCAGUAGGCCACUAUAGAGCCUGAACCCCCCAGAGCAAGCCAGAGGUGACAGUAGGCCACUGUAGAACCUGAACCCCCACAGAGCAAGCCAGAGGCGACAGUAGGCCACUAUAGAGCCAGAAAAUCUUCCACCCCAGAUAUUACCAGGUAUUUUCCAACGAAACUCAUAAUUUGUCAUUCAAAUAUUCUCUUCUUAGCUGUGCUGUGGAUAUUGCUGCUUGCUUCACUCUAGUGAUUGUUCCAUCCUCCAUAAGUGUGAUGAAUGGGAAAUUGAGUGACAGAAAACUUCUGAUAUAGAAUGCUGUAUUAUUGGGACCUAAAUUCCAUCUCGUUAGGAACUGCUCCUUCUUUGUUAUAAAGGUUUCCUACACAACAUGGUAACCAGUGGCAACAGCAGAAAACUCUAAUUAAACAUGCUCGCAGGCACAAGUAAUUCUAUCCCUCUCAAGGAAGAGAGUGAAUUCAUAUUUAAGAGUGUGUUCAUAUAUAAGAUAAAAAUAUAUUAUAUGAUGAGGAGAACAGACCAUUCAACCCAUAGGUAUAUAAUUUGCCUACCAAACAUUUUUAAUGAAAGUUUUAAUUCUUAAAACUGGCUUUGACUAUUGUAUGGUAUAAUGUUAUGUUUAUUGUCUGUUAUAUGCAAUGAUUUUAUGUUUAUCCAUAUGUCGUGUGUGACAUCUGAUUAUGUAAGAAUUUAAGGAUUAUGAGUGAUGGAUUCUGCAUGACAUUGCAUUUAUUUAGCAGAUUCUCUCAUCCUGAGCAACUUAAAAUAGAAUACUUACAUUGUAAGGGACAUAGGUACAUUCUGAUUUACAUAAACAAGAGUGCCAGACUUGAGUAAUAUUCCCAGACCAGUGAAUGUGUAUGCAACAUCACUAAAGCAAUCAUGCAAAUGAAUUAUACCCUGGAUAUUUUGAACACACUACACUGAAAUAAGCAAUGCAAGAAACAAGUUAACUUAGCCAAAUAAAUUCAUAAAAUUAAGCUGUAAAUUAUUAGCUGGUAAAACAAUUAUCUUUUUUCAUGGAAUGAACACCAGGCAUGAAAUUGUUCAGUGAUUCAGAACAUUCAAGAGCAUUUUCACAUCAACGUGUCUAGUUGAUGCUAUUACCAUAGUUAUAUUUUGAAAACUACUUUUCAGUUAUAACAUUAAUACUCUUUCUAUAACUUUUACUAAAAAUUGUUGAACAAAUUUCUGUGUAUCCUGUUUGUGACUGUCCAGUUUAUGUUUGUCAGUGAUUAGUAGUAUGCACUGAUUGCUUAUGAAUAACAAAAAACAAAAUUGCCAUUAUUAUUAAAGGGACACUGGGAAAAAAAAAAU
Anguilla anguilla (European eel) is the source of this 2305-nucleotide long non-coding RNA. RefSeq lists it as uncharacterized. The record is from RefSeq and is a predicted model, not a curated record. The transcript is spliced from 4 exons. Lineage: Eukaryota; Metazoa; Chordata; Actinopteri; Anguilliformes; Anguillidae.